AUUGAACGCUGGCGGCGUGCUUAACACAUGCAAGUCGUGCGGUAACAGGCGUAGCAAUACGUGCUGACGAGCGGCGAACGGGUGCGUAAUACAUGGGAAUCUGCCCUUUAGUGGGGAAUAACCCGGCGAAAGCCGGGCUAAUGCCGCAUAAGGAUCUUCGGAUGAAAGCGGGGGAUCGUAAGACCUCGCGCUGAUGGAUGAGCCCAUGUCGGAUUAGCAGUUGGUGAGGUAACGGCUCACCAAAGGCGACGAUCCGUAGCUGGUCUGAGAGGACGGCCAGCCACACUGGGACUGAGACACGGGCCCAGACUCCUACGGGAGCAGC
Molecule: ribosomal RNA, 325 nt
Filed under: uncultured bacterium
Lineage: Bacteria
Description: bacterial SSU rRNA
Rfam family: Bacterial small subunit ribosomal RNA
Source: RNAcentral